UCAAUGGAUCAGAUUGUCCCAUCUAAACUUCAACGGUUGAGAUUUCUUCAUUUCCCACCCACUCUUUGUAAAUCGAAGAAAAUCUCUCUCUCUCUCUCUCUCUCUCUAUACCUCCAUCAGAGCCCAUCCUGUGUGGGAUACUCAACCAUAAUCCCUAUUCGUUUCUUCUUCCUCCCUCACUCUGAUUCAGUCAAUACUCUUUCAUUCUCUCUCUCCAAUUCGUUUCUUCUUUCUCUUUUCCUUCCUCCCCCUUUCUGCCAUCUCAAUCUUCAUCAACAGUGGCAGGCCAAACUCCAUAUUCCACCACAAUCGACACAACCUUUUCAGCCCAUAGGAGAGAUUUCGAAAGGAGCCAUUGCAAAAGGGAAGAUUUCGUUGGACCACCACCGUCUCUAGAGAGAUCGAUACUCCGUCGUUGUCAAUAUUCAAAGAGAUCCCAAACAGGCACAUUAUGAGCUUGAAUGCCAAUUCAUAUAGAGUUCUCUUCCAUUAUAAUGGACAUGGUACCAAAAUCAACUGUUAAUGGUGAAAUUUGGGUAUUCAAUAAGUCUGGAAUCAAUACAUUUUGGUACCAAUCGGUGGUAGUAGAUUGGCUUAGAGUGAUGCCUACUUGGUACUCAACCACUGUCAAUCUUCAACUAGACUCCGAAAAGGUAUUUUACUUUGAUUGUUUGUUAGAUUGCACUCUCACACUCAAAUUUUAGUUGGUUUUGCUGAAAGGAAAGCAUUAGUUACAAUAAUUGAGAGGACCCAUGGCGGAAAUGGACCCAUGGUAAUCGGGUCCCCGAUUGAUACAUUGUUAAGCUUACUCAUUUUCGUUGUUAUUUUUUCUCAUUUGACAAUGCCAUUGUCUAUUAAAAAGAGAAACCAUUGUGUGAUAGUGUAUGUGUGCAGACAAGUGGAGUGAGAUCAACCGAUGACGCUAAGCUAAGAUAAGUUCUAUAGUAAUUUCUAUUUUUGUUUCCUUUUUUUUUCAACUCUCCAUUUCCAACCAUACGCACUAUCAAUCUAAUUUGUCAUUACAUAUAUAAAUGAGGGAUUUUAAUCUCUAAUUUGAUCAUUUUAUUUCAUGUGAUGUUUGUUAUUUCUUUAUGAUUUUGGGGUUCUCAUGUAGAGAGUUGUACUAAAUAUAAUAUUUAUGCUGCCAAUUGGCAGCUUGACAAUAGGACGGAGUCAGUUGCUUGAAGUUAGUUGCUUUUGUUGAGUCGAUUUUUGGAUUCUAGGAUUUUGUCAAAGAUCAUUUACUCCAAGUGGGUAGAUCAAGUACUACUAGGAGUACAUCCUCCUUAUUGUUCCUUUGCUAGGAGAAAAUGUAGUAUCACCCGUAAAUUGAGACAACUCUUCCUAAAAGCUGGUUAAUGUUUUAAACUUGGUCCCUAAACAUAAUGAUAAUCUCUUUGUUCUUUGUGUUAUUUAUUCUAAUUUUAUAUUUCUAUUAUGGUUUCAAUAUCUUAGUUUUCGUAGGACAUAGCAUUAGAACAAUAUUUUCUAAUUAAUAUCAGAGAUACAUUUCAUUUUAAGGGCUCAGAUCAAUCCUAAUUAAUAUCUCACGGUUGACAUCAAUUUUCUUCCCGCUCAAACACUCUCUCCCUCUCCCACCUACCCAUGGCUCCUUCCCCAUUCCCUCUU
Non-coding RNA from Camellia sinensis, 1629 nucleotides. The record is from RefSeq and is a predicted model, not a curated record. NCBI's taxonomy places the organism in Eukaryota, Viridiplantae, Streptophyta, Magnoliopsida, Ericales, Theaceae.